RNAcentral lists this long non-coding RNA (731 nucleotides) under Homo sapiens (human). RNAcentral describes it as "HSALNT0092505". The record is from RNAcentral. Lineage: Eukaryota; Metazoa; Chordata; Mammalia; Primates; Hominidae.
CUCACAGACAUCCUUCUCCAGCAUCUUCAUAUCUCCUGCCUCAUGCUGAUCUGCAUCUCCAGUUCUUUUUCAACAUCCAGUGCUCAUUUGGGUAUGCUGGCAUCUUUGAGUGACGAGAAAUAAACUGCUCAAGUGCAUGGUAGCAACAAUGAGCUGCUCUACUUGUAACUGAAAUCACGCUGCACUGGAGUCGAUAAACCAGUAAGGAUCUGUUCUCUGAUGAGACUGACAGAAAUCAAACUGCUGAUUGAGCCUGCACUAACAAGAUUGGACUAGCCAUUGCUGCUUGGAUCACCAUCAUUACAAAGGUAGCAAUAUGUCCCACAACUUAGAUUGGAACUCUGUCUACAGUUUUCCAGGUUACAGUUUUACAGUUCUAAUCCAAUCAUCUGAUGCUAUCCACAUCACUAUAAACUUUAAAAUUAAUCUCCAUAUAUAUUUUUUUACUUUCCAGAUUAUUUUCUGACAAUAGUGCACAAUUUAUUGAAAAAGCCAUUCAACCCUGAGUCCUUUGACAGGCCUUCCAUGAUCGCUAAAAUACACUGGCAUCUGGCAUUGUUGAAUAUUGGAAUGGUCUCCUUAAUAUCACUCAAAAAAUAUUUCUGACUCUACAUCCAUUAUCUCUUAUUGGUCUAAACACCUUAGUAAUAUGAUUUUGUCAGUGGAUGUCACUGUACCUGGAAAGGGUUCAUCUCUUCUCUUUCCUGGUGAUGAUCAGACAUCAAUUAAAG